AUGAGAACAGCUGGCACUAGUUGCUACGUGAGCUCAGCCUGGGGCGAGUGGAGUGCACCUGUAGAGUUUGGAAAUGAAGAAAUAAUUUCUUCUUCAGUAUGGAUUUUAAUUGUGGUAGCAAUUGCGACACUCUUGGUGGCAAUCACUGCAAUUUUGUUCUGCAAAAGGACUGGCUGUUGGAAAGCAGCAUUUCCAGAAAUCCCAGAGCCAAAAAAUGCAUUUCAUAGACUACCUGAUACAAAUCCAGAGCUGAUGGGGAGCAAAAUUCAGUCACUGACAUCUGAAAAUGAAGAGAUAAUAUUAGUUGUUGAUGCAGUGAAAUAACCAAAAAAUCCCAAGGAAUUUGAAAAUGCAUUUCUUACCUCAGGCAUCUGUAUAUUCUUGUGAAAAGUCUGGAAAUAGUUUUCCUUCACUUUCCUCCUUUUCUUGGUAAAAAAAAUAGCAGUGCAGCCAAGAGAGAAUGAUACGUCACAUGUAAUUUUUUUAAAUGUCAUUGUAUUUGCUUUUAAUUUUGGCUAAUUUUAACUUUUUAGGUAACAUAUUUAUGGGAUACCUUCUAUUUUGUGAAUAUGAUUGAAAUAUUUCAGUCAAGAAAUAACAAUGUUACAAAGCAAAAGUGAUAUUUUUAAUUUAAGGAAAUAUAGUGCAUUUGUAUGAUAUAAAAAAGAAUACAAAUUAAUUUAAUGAGACAAAUAAAAAUUAAAAAAAAAUUUCUUGUGCCUGAAUG
Molecule: long non-coding RNA, 727 nt
Filed under: Calidris pygmaea (Spoon-billed sandpiper)
Lineage: Eukaryota; Metazoa; Chordata; Aves; Charadriiformes; Scolopacidae
Description: lncRNA (ENSCPGG00000006453.1)
Source: RNAcentral